This 325-nucleotide ribosomal RNA is filed under the name uncultured eukaryote. RNAcentral's name for it is "partial 18S ribosomal RNA". It matches the Rfam family "Eukaryotic small subunit ribosomal RNA", at positions 1470 to 1796 of the family's 1831-position model. The record is from RNAcentral.
CCCUUAGAUGUUCUGGGCUGCACGCGCGCUACACUGAUGCGCUCAACGAGUUUAUGACCUUGCCCGGAAGGGUUGGGUAAUCUUUUCAAAACGCAUCGUGAUGGGGAUAGAUUAUUGCAAUUAUUAAUCUUCAACGAGGAAUUCCUAGUAAGCGCGAGUCAUCAGCUCGUGCUGAUUACGUCCCUGCCCUUUGUACACACCGCCCGUCGCUCCUACCGAUCGAAGAGUUAGGUGAAUUGUUUUGAUCGAUAAGAUUUGACUAUGGUCAACUCUCGUUGUGAAAUUCUGUGAAUCUGACUGUUUAGAGGAAGGAAAAGUCGUAACA